Molecule: ribosomal RNA, 293 nt
Filed under: Neogloboquadrina pachyderma
Lineage: Eukaryota; Foraminifera; Rotaliida; Globorotaliidae
Description: partial 18S ribosomal RNA
Rfam family: Eukaryotic small subunit ribosomal RNA
Source: RNAcentral
ACCACAAGAACGCGUGGAGCAUGUGGCUUAAUUUGACUCAACGCGGGAAAUCUUACCGGGUCCGGACACACUGAGGAUUGACAGGCAAUAUCUCAUGGUUAUUAACCCGGUUAUUACAUUUUGUUUAAUCGGUUAUUAAGCAUCGAGUGUUAAAUAUGCUAUCCUUUCAUGAUUAUGUGAUAGGUGGUGCAUGGCCGUUCUUAGUUCGUGGAGUGAUCUGUCUGCUUAAUUGCGUUUCACUAAGGGCCCAUAAAUUCAAGGUAUGUUAGCUAUCGUCGCUCUAUGGACCCCUU